GAUGAACGCUGGCGGCGUGCCUAAUACAUGCAAGUCGAGCGAACAGACGAGGAGCUUGCUCCUCUGACGUUAGCGGCGGACGGGUGAGUAACACGUGGAUAACCUACCUAUAAGACUGGGAUAACUUCGGGAAACCGGAGCUAAUACCGGAUAAUAUAUUGAACCGCAUGGUUCAAUAGUGAAAGACGGUUUUGCUGUCACUUAUAGAUGGAUCCGCGCCGCAUUAGCUAGUUGGUAAGGUAACGGCUUACCAAGGCAACGAUGCGUAGCCGACCUGAGAGGGUGAUCGGCCACACUGGAACUGGGACACGGUCCAGGCUCCUACGGGAGGCAGCAGUAGGGAAUCGUCCGCAGUGGGCGAAAGCCUUGCGGAGCAACGCCGCGUGAGUGAUGAAGGUCUUCGGAUCGUAAAACUCUGUUAUUAGGGAAGAACAAAUGUGUAAGUAACUAUGCACGUCUUGACGGUACCUAAUCAGAAAGCCACGGCUAACUACGUG
Molecule: ribosomal RNA, 497 nt
Filed under: uncultured bacterium
Lineage: Bacteria
Description: partial 16S ribosomal RNA
Rfam family: Bacterial small subunit ribosomal RNA
Source: RNAcentral